CUGGCCCGGGAGGAGGGGCGGCGGCGAAUGCUGGGAUAGUCCGACGAGCGCUGCACUAACGCAGGAUCCGGCUCCCGAAGGUCCUCUCCAGGAUGAAGUUAAAGGAAGUAGAUCGUACAGCCAUGCAGGCAUGGAGCCCUGCCCAGAAUCACCCCAUUUACCUAGCAACAGGAACAUCUGCUCAGCAGUUGGAUGCAACAUUUAGUACGAAUGCUUCCCUUGAGAUAUUUGAAUUAGACCUUUCUGAUCCAUCCUUGGAUAUGAAAUCUUGUGCCACAUUCUCCUCUUCUCACAGGUACCACAAGUUGAUUUGGGGGCCUUAUAAAAUGGAUUCCAAAGGAGAUGUCUCUGGAGUUCUGAUUGCAGGUGGUGAAAAUGGAAAUAUUAUUCUCUAUGAUCCUUCUAAAAUUAUAGCUGGAGACAAGGAAGUUGUGAUUGCCCAGAAUGACAAGCAUACUGGCCCAGUGAGAGCCUUGGAUGUGAACAUUUUCCAGUUAUGGUUUCUUCUUACAGACUAAUCUGGUAGCUUCUGGUGCUAAUGAAUCUGAAAUCUACAUAUGGGAU
RNAcentral lists this small RNA (564 nucleotides) under Pongo abelii (Sumatran orangutan). Its description in RNAcentral is "processed transcript". Lineage: Eukaryota; Metazoa; Chordata; Mammalia; Primates; Hominidae. The record is from RNAcentral.